This 472-nucleotide ribosomal RNA is filed under the name uncultured bacterium. RNAcentral describes it as "bacterial SSU rRNA". It matches the Rfam family "Bacterial small subunit ribosomal RNA", at positions 156 to 638 of the family's 1533-position model. The record is from RNAcentral.
AUGUGGGUUAAGCCCGCGUACGGUGCUUCUUGUAGGUGAGAAGCAGGAAAAGUCUGGGAGACCAGGCUGCCGGAGGAGGGGUCCGCGGCCGAUUAGUUAGUUGGUGGGGUAAGAGCCUACCAAGGCGGCGAUCGGUAGCUGGUCUGAGAGGAUGAUCAGCCACACUGGGAUUGAGAACGGCCCAGACUCCUACGGGGGGCAGCAGUGAGGGAUCUUCCGCAAUGGGCGAAAGCCUGACGGAGCAACGCCGCGUGGAGGAUGACGGCCUUCGGGUUGUAAACUCCUUUUCUGUGGGGCGAGACCGGACGGUACCACAGGAAGAAGCCUCGGCUAACUACGUGCCAGCAGCCGCGGUAAUACGUAGGAGGCGAGCGUUGUCCGGAGUUACUGGGCGUAAAGGGUGCGCAGGCGGCCUCGCGCGUGUGUGGUGAAAUCUCCCGGCUCAACUGGGAGGGGGCCAUGCAGACGGCGG